GAUGAACGCUGGCGGCGUGCCUAAUACAUGCAAGUCGAGCGAACGGACGAGAAGCUUGCUUCUCUGAUGUUAGCGGCGGACGGGUGAGUAACACGUGGAUAACCUACCUAUAAGACUGGGAUAACUUCGGGAAACCGGAGCUAAUACCGGAUAAUAUUUUGAACCGCAUGGUUCAAAAGUGAAAGACGGUCUUGCUGUCACUUAUAGAUGGAUCCGCGCUGCAUUAGCUAGUUGGUAAGGUAACGGCUUACCAAGGCAACGAUGCAUAGCCGACCUGAGAGGGUGGUCGGCCACACUGGAACUGAGACACGGUCCAGACUCCUACGGGAGGAACAAGUAGGGAAUCUUCCGAAAUGGGGGAAGGCCUGACGGAGCAACGCGGGGGGGGUAAUAAAGGUCUUCGGAUCGAAAAACUCUUUUAUUGGGGAAAAAAAUAUGUGAAAGAAACUGUGCACAUCUUGACGGUACCUAAUAAAAAGGCCACGGCUAACUACGUG
This 497-nucleotide ribosomal RNA is filed under the name uncultured bacterium. RNAcentral describes it as "partial 16S ribosomal RNA". It matches the Rfam family "Bacterial small subunit ribosomal RNA", at positions 28 to 507 of the family's 1533-position model. The record is from RNAcentral.